CGGGUAGGUCUAACUCUCCCCGCUACGGGUAGGUCUAACUCUCCCCGCUACGGGUAGGUCUAACUCUCCCCGCUACGGGUAGGUCUAACUCUCCCCGCUACGGGUAGGUCUAACUCUCCCCGCUACGGGUAGGUCUAACUCUCCCCGCUACGGGUAGGUCUAACUCUCCCCGCUACGGGUAGGUCUAACUCUCCCCGCUACGGGUAGGUCUAACUCUCCCCGCUACGGGUAGGUCUAACUCUCCCCGCUACGGGUAGGUCUAACUCUCCCCGCUACGGGUAGGUCUAACUCUCCCCGCUACGGGUAGGUCUAACUCUCCCCGCUCCGGGUAGGUCUAACUCUCCCCGCUACGGGUAGGUCUAACUCUCCCCGCUACGGGUAGGUCUAACUCUCCCCGCUACGGGUAGGUCUAACUCUCCCCGCUACGGGUAGGUCUAACUCUCCCCGCUACGGGUAGGUCUAACUCUCCCCGCUACGGGUAGGUCUAACUCUCCCCGCUACGGGUAGGUCUAACUCUCCCCGCUACGGGUAGGUCUAACUCUCCCCGCUACGGGUAGGUCUAACUCUCCCCGCUACGGGUAGGUCUAACUCUCCCCGCUACGGGUAGGUCUAACUCUCCCCGCUACGGGUAGGUCUAACUCUCCCCGCUACGGGUAGGUCUAACUCUCCCCGCUACGGGUAGGUCUAACUCUCCCCGCUACGGGUAGGUCUAACUCUCCCCGCUACGGGUAGGUCUAACUCUCCCCGCUACGGGUAGGUCUAACUCUCCCCGCUACGGGUAGGUCUAACUCUCCCCGCUACGGGUAGGUCUAACUCUCCCCGCUACGGGUAGGAC
Oncorhynchus keta (chum salmon) is the source of this 835-nucleotide long non-coding RNA. RefSeq lists it as uncharacterized. Lineage: Eukaryota; Metazoa; Chordata; Actinopteri; Salmoniformes; Salmonidae. The transcript is spliced from 4 exons. The record is from RefSeq and is a predicted model, not a curated record.